CGUGACCUCCUCUUCCGGGGCCCGCGAGGGCGACCUAAGGCCCAGUGGCCUCUCUCCGCGUGGUUCUCCGUUGCUCCUCGUCUCUCCCUCUUUCGUCGGCUCCGCGGCGGCGCGAUCCUGCGUCCCACCCAUUCCUCGAUCACCCCGGUCGCGCAACUGCGGCUCCCACGCCGUCCGCCCGCCCGGGCGCGGCAGCCCCGCGGCCGCGUGCACCGGGAGGCCCCGGCGACCCCGUCCUGUCGGCGCGGGGGAGCCCCUGCUCUCCGCGCCGCAGCCUCCUGGCUCCAGCUAAGGCAGGCCUGCAGGGUGGUGGGCGGCCCGGUUCCCAGGUCACCUUCAGCCUACAGUGACACGGACUUUUCAGCGUGUCGCUUGGGCCGCUGCAAAGUAGAGGCGGGAAAGGGUUUUCGUGGGGGUGCACUCAGCAAGUUGUCGGCCUCUCCCCAACCCCAGGCCCAAGGUGAGGCUCAACCCUAUGUAUCUCAUUUCCAGUGUUAAUGAGAUUUUUAUCCUAGGAUUAAGGAGGCUGCCCCGAAUCCACUUUCUCUGCCUUUAGCCAAGAGGCUUCACGAUGGAGUGAUCAGAGACAUUGAGAGGCAGAAUCG
Lynx canadensis (Canada lynx) is the source of this 605-nucleotide RNA transcript. It is a transcript of the gene named protein PET117 homolog, mitochondrial, with no coding region annotated. NCBI's taxonomy places the organism in Eukaryota, Metazoa, Chordata, Mammalia, Carnivora, Felidae. The transcript has 2 exons. The record is from RefSeq and is a predicted model, not a curated record.